Molecule: long non-coding RNA, 1057 nt
Filed under: Mus musculus (house mouse)
Lineage: Eukaryota; Metazoa; Chordata; Mammalia; Rodentia; Muridae
Description: long non-coding RNA chr2:103788957-103790014
Source: RNAcentral
UGUAAUCCUGGCUUCCCUGGAGCUCACUCUGUAGACCCGGCUGGCCUUGAACUCAGAGAUCCACCUGCCUCUGCCUGAAUGCUGGGGUUAAGCCUAGCAAAUUUUUUAAUUUUCUAUGUUGGAGUAAGAAUAUUACAAGGAAGCCAUUGCCUAAAACUAAAAGUAUUGACAAAUCCUGCUUACACUACCAGAAUUGUUCUACUUGUCUGCCCACCUGAAAAAUAUUCAAGUUUAAAAAAAUAAAAAAAAAAGUUAAGUUUUCCUUUCAUGGAUUAAUCCAUUAAGGAUUGUUGGUGGUGCUACAAAUAUUUCUAGGUAAUGUUUUAGGCAGAGUAUGAAAUAUUCCUCGUUAGGGAAGAACAGCAAGCAGAAUGGUUUACUAGUGAGCCUUACCUCCAAUGAUAAUCACCAACUUUAAAAAACCCUUAAGGUGAAGAACCUACAGCAGAGUAUAUAAAGGUCCCAAGACUGCAGACAAGUAACAAACCUAAAUAAAGCAGGCUCCUUUAGCAGACCGAUCAGAUCAAAUAGCACGCCUUACCCUUUCCUUAGAGAGUAUAAAUUUUAAAUGUUUUAUUUUUAUUUUGUAUUCAUUGGUUUUUUUACCUGUAAAUGUCUGUAUGAGGUUAUCAGAGUCCCUGGAACUAGAGUUACAAACAGUUGUGAGCUACCAUGUGGGUACUGGGAAUUGAGCCUGGGUCCUCUGGAAGAACAGCUAGUGCUCUUAACCACUACUCUAAUUCUCCAGCACAAGGAAGUAUGAAUUUAAUUACACACAGGAAAGUCUUUCUCUCCCAUGUUUUUCUACACAUCCUCAGUAAGAGCCCUCCAAUAGCUGGUGGGAAAUUUGGGGCUCAACUUUGCUUCUGCUACUCCUCCUCACUCCUUUACUGCACACCCACUGUGUAUGGGUAAGGGUGGGGGCAGUGGUGGAGGUGGGGGCAGACCAACAUUACAAAGACACCAGGAGCCUAGCCUCUAAGAAUGUAGUCUGUUACUCAAAUAUUCCUGGUUUACAACAUUUCAAGAUUGAGACUGGCAAAUAUAUAUAUGUGCC